CCAUCUUCAACAUCAAUCUCUCUGACUGUUUCACUCUUUCGCCGAUAAACAAAAACAUCAAAGCAACAAUAUACCAAACAGGCACUUGGAUGACAUUGUAAUGAAGCUAUUAUUCUUAGGGGUAUGGUAUUUAUAUUUUGAGGAUAGGAUGAUGUGGUGGUUAUUAUCUGGUGGCAACUCAAACAAAUGAUUGUUGUUCGGCAUGCUUAGAUAAUACAUUAUGGAUAC
This 228-nucleotide long non-coding RNA is filed under the name Elaeis guineensis (African oil palm). RNAcentral's name for it is "long non-coding RNA (EGUI_LNC024481)". The record is from RNAcentral. Lineage: Eukaryota; Viridiplantae; Streptophyta; Magnoliopsida; Arecales; Arecaceae.